GAUGAACGCGGGCGGCGUGCUAAUACAUGCAAGUAGAACGCUGAAGCUUGGUGCUUGCACCGAGCGGAUGAGUUGCGAACGGGUGAGUAACGCGUAGGUAACCUGCCUCUUAGCGGGGGAUAACUAUGGAAACGAUAGCUAAUACCGCAUAAAAGUCGAUAUCGCAUGAUGUUGAUUUGAAAGGUGCAAUUGCAUCACUAAGAGAUGGACCUGCGUUGUAUUAGCUAGUUGGUGAGGUAACGGCACACCAAGGCGACGAUACAUAGCCGACCUGAGAGGGUGAUCGGCCACACUGGGACUGAGACACGGCCCAGACUCCUACGGGAGGCAGCAGUAGGGAAUCUUCGGCAAUGGGGGCAACCCUGACCGAGCAACGCCGCGUGAGUGAAGAAGGUUUUCGGAUCGUAAAGCUCUGUUGUAAGAGAAGAACGAGUGUGAGAGUGGAAAGUUCACACUGUGACGGAACUACCAGAAAGGCGCAU
This 482-nucleotide ribosomal RNA is filed under the name Streptococcus parasanguinis. RNAcentral's name for it is "bacterial SSU rRNA". It matches the Rfam family "Bacterial small subunit ribosomal RNA", at positions 28 to 496 of the family's 1533-position model. The record is from RNAcentral. Lineage: Bacteria; Bacillati; Bacillota; Bacilli; Lactobacillales; Streptococcaceae.